Oryctolagus cuniculus (rabbit) is the source of this 1558-nucleotide long non-coding RNA. Lineage: Eukaryota; Metazoa; Chordata; Mammalia; Lagomorpha; Leporidae. The record is from Ensembl.
UAAACUUCAUGGGGUCUAGAAACAUAUUUGCUUUGACACUAAAACUCAGCAUCUUGACAGUCAGUCUUUUAGUUGAAUAAAUACAUGAUAUACAAACUAAAUAUUUCUGCCCCUCAAGAACUGCCUAAUAGAGAAGAAAAUAGAAAUCAAUUUGAUGACUCUCAGUAUUAGGUGAAUAUAUAAUUUGUCAUUCUGACAUAAGCUUGGUCAUAAAAAGGGCAUAUGAAUAAUUACACACAGUUGAAGUGUAUGACCACCUAGGGCCAAGUGGGUUAAAUGUUCACCCUAGCUAUGUAAGGCAUUCCAUGUCAAUAGGAGAGGAAGGAGGAAGAUGGGAGGGAGUUUAGUUGGGAAGGUGGUUACGGUGGGAAGAAUCACCAUGCUCAUUACUUAGCAGCAAAGAGAGAAUCUGUGAUCAUUUGUUGCUUAUGAAAGGGUGAUAGGCAUUAUUUAAUUAUAAUGCAGGCAUCAGUGCUCUCCUGUCGCUGAAAUAGGAAGUCUAUAACUCAGAAUUCCUUGCUGUUUCAUCAAAAACAAUUCAAAACAAAAACCUAAUUAAGCAUAAGAGGAAGUUAUGCAUUAGAAGUCUAUUCUAAACUCUAGGAGGUUCAGGGGUUGGAAAAUUCAUCCAAAAUCUUGCUGCAAAAUGUCCCAUACAUUCUCCAUGACCACUACCCAUAAGCAUAAGCUCUUUUAAAAAAAAAGAUUUGUUUAUUUGAAAGUCAGAGUUACGCAGAGAGAGGAGAAGCAGAGAGUGAGAGGGAGAGAGAGGGAGAGAGAGAAUCUUCCAUCUGCUGGUUUACUCCCCAAUUGGAUACAAUGGCCAGAGCUGAGCUGAUCCAAAGCCAGGAGUUAGGAGCUUCUUCCAGGUUUCCCAAGUGGGUUCAGGGGUCCAAGGACGUGGGCCAUCUUCUACUGCUUUCUCAGGCCAUAGCACAGCAGGAUCAGAAGGGGAGCAGCCGAGACUCGAACCGGUGACCAUAUGGGAUGCUGGCACUGCGGGCAGCAGCCUUACCUGCUACACCACAGCACCAGCCCCCAUAAGCCCUAUCUUCUGCAGAACCAGCACCCCAGACACCAGCCACCACAUGGCAUCCCAUGGCACACUCACCCCUGGCAAUGUUCUGCAGCUCCUGCUCCUCUCCACCUUCACUGGAAGAAUCUGCAACUCCUUUUUUUCAUGCAAAUGAUGCCCCUGACACAAUUGGCUGGCAAGUGCCAUGGCAUGUGUCCAUGACCUAGCUAAAUGCAAAGCUGGAACAUUUUAAACUUUUCACUGCCAUGCUGAGACACGGACUCCAUCUAUGAAGUAGGGGAUUUUUCAGGGAGUCUAGAGAAUCAAAUAUGACAAAAUGACAAAUCUUAACCAGAGACUGCCAUGGUACAGAUGAAGAGAACCCAAAAUGUAUUUUUCUAUCUUUUCUUUUCUGAGUCAAGUGCCUAAAAACAAAGCCAAUGAGGGUUAAACAGACCCAUUCUGAAAUUCCUUAACAUCUUCAUUUUCAUCCAAAUUAAUAUAUUACUUGAAGAAAAUAAAUUUUACAUAAAUGAAAAUGCA